UCGUUCGGGAAGGUUGCUUUUGGUAUUUAUUUUGCCUGGUAAUAAAUUUUGUGUCGAAUUGAAUAGUAAGAAAUGAACUGUCCGAGCUUCAGGUUCUUGUUCGAUUCUGUUUGUUUUACGUUUAUAUUCGUGUAUCAGAUAUAUAUUAUCAUAUUAUUAUUUUGGAAGUUACUAUUAUUUAAUGUGUAGAUAACAUAUUAUGAACAAUUUACAACAGCCCCCUACCAAUAACCGACCUAUGAAUACGCCACGAUCAAGGGCAUACUGCGUUUAAGAACGCGUACUUCGUGAAUGCUCGUGGCUCACCAAUGUGCCGCGGCACUCAGUUUGAAAAUCACUGGUCAAUAUAGUACAUACUUCGAAUAGAAAACUCGGAGUAAUCAGCGUUGAGUUUUUCUACUUUUUCCAAAUUCAUGGAGUUAUUAUUCCACGUGACUGUCGAAAACAUUCAACAAAAUUACCUUUCCGAUAGAUCCAUUCGGAACAGAAUAUUGUUUGAACCAAUCGAUACAAGCUGGCAUA
This 522-nucleotide long non-coding RNA is filed under the name Acyrthosiphon pisum (pea aphid). RNAcentral's name for it is "uncharacterized LOC115033818, transcript variant X1". Lineage: Eukaryota; Metazoa; Arthropoda; Insecta; Hemiptera; Aphididae. The record is from RNAcentral.